GGCGGACGGGUGAGUAAUACAUAGGAAUCUACCCUGUAGUGGGGGACAACCUGGGGAAACUCAGGCUAAUACCGCAUAAUCUCUACGGAGGAAAGGGGGCUUCGGCUCUCGCUAUUGGAUGAGCCUAUGUCUGAUUAGCUUGUUGGUGGGGUAACGGCCUACCAAGGCGACGAUCAGUAGCUGGUCUGAGAGGAUGAUCAGCCACACUGGGACUGAGACACGGCCCAGACUCCUACGGGAGGCAGCAGUGGGGAAUAUUGGACAAUGGGGGAAACCCUGAUCCAGCAAUGCCGCGUGGGUGAAGAAGGCUCGCGGGUUGUAAAGCCCUUUCAGUAGCGAGGAAAAGCUGAAGGUUAAUACCCUUCAGUCUUGACGUUAACUACAGAAGAAGCACCGGCUAACUCUGUGCCAGCAGCCGCGGUAAUACAGAGGGUGCGAGCGUUAAUCGGAAUUACUGGGCGUAAAGCGCGCGUAGGCGGUUUACUC
Molecule: ribosomal RNA, 486 nt
Filed under: uncultured Gammaproteobacteria bacterium
Lineage: Bacteria; Pseudomonadati; Pseudomonadota; Gammaproteobacteria
Description: bacterial SSU rRNA
Rfam family: Bacterial small subunit ribosomal RNA
Source: RNAcentral